Molecule: long non-coding RNA, 534 nt
Organism: Oreochromis aureus
Lineage: Eukaryota; Metazoa; Chordata; Actinopteri; Cichliformes; Cichlidae
Exons: 3
Source: RefSeq, a predicted model, not a curated record
GGACUUGCCAAGUGAUCUUAGUGUCUUUGCAACUGAGCACACUCUACCAGCAACACUGACAGCUCACCAGUGGGAGCUGAUAGAUAAGACUGCUCUCAUCCAUUGAAGAGCUGACCAGAAACGUGAACAGAAAGACUGCAACUGCACCUGAUGGGAUCCCUGCCAUAACAGAUGUGUUCUGUCCAGUGAAGGCAGUGGAGAAGCCCUACACUGAUCUUGAAACUGUGCCACGCUACUAGAAACCGGCUACAAGGAUGGGCAGCUGUUUUCGCAAAGUCAGCCAACCACUUGCUUCCAAAUGACUCUUAUCCAGAAGUAUCCGUAAGUGCCUCAUCAACAGAAACUAAAGUGGAGACCUACCUCUCAGAGAAAAACGCACACAUAAGAAAAGCCGACCCACUUCAGUACUGGGAAGAACAUCCUAAUCUGUUUCCCUCUAUGGCUGCUGUUGCGAUCCCAGUGUGCCCCCUGUAGCUCUGUGGACAGUUUUGGAUUUGUUUACAUCUCACCCCAACCGGUCGCGACAGAUGGCCG